RNAcentral lists this ribosomal RNA (565 nucleotides) under uncultured bacterium. RNAcentral's name for it is "bacterial SSU rRNA". It matches the Rfam family "Bacterial small subunit ribosomal RNA", at positions 249 to 826 of the family's 1533-position model. The record is from RNAcentral.
UUGGUGGGGUAACGACCCACCAAGCAGACGACGGGUAGCCGGCCUGAGAGGGCGAUCGGCCACACUGGGACUGAGACACGGCCCAGACUCCUACGGGAGGCAGCAGUGGGGAAUAUUGCACAAUGGGCGCAAGCCUGAUGCAGCGACGCCGCGUGGGGGAUGACGGCCUUCGGGUUGUAAACCCCUUUCGACAGGGACGAAGCGUGAGUGACGGUACCUGUAAAAGAAGCACCGGCCAACUACGUGCCACCAGCCGCGGUAAUACGUAGGGUGCGAGCGUUGUCCGGAAUUUCUGGGCGUAAAGAGCUUGUAGGCGGUUCGUCGCGUCGCUCGUGAAAACCGGCAGCUCAACUGUCGGCUUGCGGGCGAUACGGGCGGACUAGAGUACUGCAGGGGAGACUGGAAUUCCUGGUGUAGCGGUGAAAUGCGCAGAUAUCAGGAGGAACACCGGUGGCGAAGGCGGGUCUCUGGGCAGUAACUGACGCUGAGAAGCGAAAGCGUGGGUAGCGAACAGGAUUAGAUACCCUGGUAGUCCACGCCGUAAACGGUGGGCGCUAGGUGUGGG